AGGAACUCCAUAUUGUUGGUGCAUCUGAGUGUGACACGUCUAAGUGUGGAACCCAUAUUGAGUUCUUGCGAACAGAUUCGUAACCCCCUGUUUGGGAACCGAACAGAACUUGGGAGGUCCCCCCUGUUAUUGACUUAGAAUACUGACCACCCCUGGCUGUUAAACGCAAUUAAGGAGUGCUUUCCCUGGGUGGCUGUUCACAUAACCAAACACACAUGCCAAUUACUGGAGUGCUUUCCC
Molecule: non-coding RNA, 240 nt
Organism: Pelobates cultripes (western spadefoot toad)
Lineage: Eukaryota; Metazoa; Chordata; Amphibia; Anura; Pelobatidae
Source: the annotation of a GenBank genome assembly